Molecule: long non-coding RNA, 1286 nt
Filed under: Homo sapiens (human)
Lineage: Eukaryota; Metazoa; Chordata; Mammalia; Primates; Hominidae
Description: HSALNT0057356
Source: RNAcentral
CGCCUUCUGUGGGUCAUGGCCACAGUACUCUGACCUCUGAUGCUGUCAUUACAUCCCCUUCUCUGACUCUGACUCUCCUGGCUUUCUUAUAAAGAUCCUUGUAUUUACAUUUGGCCCACCCAGAUAACCCAGGAUAAUCUCCCCUUUUUAAGACCUUUCAGUUACUUAUAUUUGCAAAACUUUCUUUUAUCAUACGUGGUAGCAUAUUCACAGGUUUCAGGGAUUAGGACAAGGACAACUUUUUAGGUUAAUAUUCUGCCUCCCACAAGGGUCUAAUAGUAAAAUCAAGGUGUGACCAUAAAAUCCUUUAUUAAAAUCUCAUGAAUAUCUAGGGCAAUGCCUCAGAGAUCUGAUAUGCCAAUAACUUCUAAGAAUACAAGGCAGUAUAAGCAGCCUAAGCCCCAGAAACACACAUAGGGAAGGAUUUAGCUCAAAGCAUUUGCAGGUGUGUCUUUUGUCUAGUGAAGCCCAGUCCAUAACAGUCCUAGGAUCCUCAAGAAGUGUUUUAAGAGAACUGUACUACACUGCCAACUUGAACCAAAAGGGACAAUGACAGCACAAGAUGAAAAAGAUCUGAUGUACGCUAACAAUUCCAUAGGCAGUAAGCAGGUUCAGAAAGCCAUUACUGAGCAGCAAAUAUGGGCAACAUGUCAUUAAAAAGGAGAAAUUACUCAGAGGACAGAUCCAAGAGCCACAGUACAUUAUUCUCAGACUUUGAGCCCUAAUCAAGGAACUUGCAACAUGUGCCACUCCAGAUUUCAGAAAUGUUAGGGAAUGGUGACGACUGUGUCUCUCAUUUUUCCACAUUAUGAAAAUGAAGGUCUGUGCCAGUUAUUUUAUGCCUGUUCCACGAUUGUUUGCUGGGCCUGUGGGGACGACGGGAAGCAAGAACUUGUGUCUAUUGUUUACAGGUCCUUAUAUUAAGAAGGCUUGCAUUCUAAGUGCCACACUUGAGAUGUCUUACCCCAUCUGAACCUGAUUUUGUAGCAAAUAUCCUGUAAUUGAGCUGACAUUGGAAAUGAAUGAGAAUUUGGAGAGAAGAUGUGGAUUUUUUAUGAAGGAGCAGGUUUGAAGGCAUGAAUCAUCCAAGGUCAAAAGGAGAAACCAACCAACAUGCCAUAUGGACAUUGAAGCAUCUCUGUACAGAUGCCGACUUGGAAAGAAACUAGGACUUCACACCAACAAUCAAUACCAACUACCAGCCAGGCAUAUGACUAAACUUUGAAGUGGAUCUUCUAGCCCCAGAAUUUUUUCUAGAUUUAGUAAACAAUUUGAGGAUACCUAUC